AUCUAGCUGACGAGUCCUAAACAAGACGAUACUCACAUCCUGGAU
This 45-nucleotide non-coding RNA is filed under the name Schistosoma mattheei. The record is from RNAcentral. Lineage: Eukaryota; Metazoa; Platyhelminthes; Trematoda; Strigeidida; Schistosomatidae.